Molecule: ribosomal RNA, 838 nt
Filed under: Phlebotomus sergenti
Lineage: Eukaryota; Metazoa; Arthropoda; Insecta; Diptera; Psychodidae
Description: SSU rRNA
Rfam family: Eukaryotic small subunit ribosomal RNA
Source: RNAcentral
CCAGCAGCCGCGGUAAUUCCAGCUCCAAUAGCGUAUAUUAAAGUUGUUGCGGUUAAAACGUUCGUAGUUGAAUUUGUGUCCCACACGGGUAAUGCACCCAAGUGCGGGUUUUGCAUUACUUGUUGCUCUGUGCGUUUUGUGUAAAAGCAAACGUAUAGUGUGACUUUAAGUGUGACGGAUGUUUUACCGGUGAGGGAAACGACUAAUUAUGUCCCUAUAUUGGCUUUCGGGUUAUAUAUAGGUCAAGCAUAUUAAUACGCCUCUUAUGUUAAAAGACCCAUUUUAGUGCUCUUUACCGAGUGCUAUUGUGGGCCGGUACAAUUACUUUGAACAAAUUAGAGUGCUUAAAGCAGGCUAAAUUUAAUGAAAAUUAAAACGCCUGAAUAUAUUUUGCAUGGAAUAUGAAAUAUGACCUCUGGUCUAUUUGAUUGGUUUUUAGAUGCCAAGAGGUAAUGAUUAAUAGAAGCAGUUGGGGGCAUUAGUAUUACGAGGCGAGAGGUGAAAUUCGUAGACCCUCGUAAGACUGACUUAAGCGAAAGCAUUUGCCAAGGAUGUUUUCAUUAAUCAAGAACGAAAGUUAGAGGAUCGAAGGCGAUCAGAUACCGCCCUAGUUCUAACCAUAAACGAUGCCAGCUAGCAAUUGAAUGUAGCUACUUAUUUCAGGCUCAUUCAGUCGCUUUCCGGGAAACCAAAGCUUUUGGGCUCCGGGGGAAGUAUGGAUGCAAAGCUGAAACUUAAAGGAAUUGACGGAAGGGCACCACCAGGAGUGGAGCCUGCGGGUUAAUUUGACUCAACACGGGAAAACUUACCAGGUCCGAACAUAAAUGAGUAAGACAGA